Long non-coding RNA from Equus caballus (horse), 2270 nucleotides. Lineage: Eukaryota; Metazoa; Chordata; Mammalia; Perissodactyla; Equidae. The record is from Ensembl.
AUCCUCCAGAUAUUUGCUGAAUACUUAUUCCUGUAACUUCUCUCUCUCUUAUUCUAUCAUAGUGAGUGUGUACGUGUACGUGUGGGUGUGUGCACAUGAACUCAACGAUGCAUUGAGUGUUUUAUUGUGACAAUUAUAUGCUAUGGUGAAAUUUGUGGAGAUAUAGGAUACAUUUUCUUAGAAAGCUCCCCUUCUGGUUAGACUAUAUCUGAAGCAGUCUUUAGUAUUUGGUGCCAAAUUUUAAGGAAUAUAUCAACAAGUAAGAGCAUGAAAAAAAUGAGAAGUCUAAAAAAGAUUAGCCUGGUUGUGCUCACAAUAACUCCCAUGCAGUGGUUGAAGACCUGUUUUGUAGACGAAAGCCUUGGCUAAAUUUGUGUAGCUUCUUGUAUAACUUGGGAGAAGUCAUUAGGGACAUUGUAAAUGUAAAAACACAUUUUGAUUUAGUAGGCUGCCUUGUGAGGAAGAGUUUAAAUGGAAAUUCACCUUAGAAGAGAGAGAGGUGGGAUGAAAGAAAUCCCCACACCUCCUUUCAGUCUGAAUAUUCUUUUAAUAUUUAAUCCAUUUUUCACUUUAAAAUGACUGCCUCAGUGCAUCAGUCAGAGCCUCCAUUCUGGAACCAUCAACAAUCGGUUAAAAACAAGGGAGUCUGAAGCUCUAGAAGAGAGAGAAACCACAAGAUAAACGGUUCCAGGACAUGACCACUUGGAACGCUGACCACCAAUCAAGGAAUAUCUGUUUUGGACUUCCUGAGAGCAAGAAAUAUGCUUCUCUUAGCAAGUCUGGCCCUGAGCUAACCUCCGUGCCCAUCUUCCUUUACUUUAUGUGUGGGACGCCUACCACAGUAUGGCCUGCCAAGCCGUGUCAUGUCCGCACCUGGGAUCCAAACUGGCAAACCCUGGGCUUCCGAGAAGCGGAACAUGUGAACUUAACUGCUGUGCCACCAGACCGCCCCCUGCAGGACAUUGACCCUUGCAUAUUGAAGACAGAAUUCUUCAUUUUUCCUCAACAAAUGUUGAGCAAAGCACUUAUCAGAAUCUGCGGGAACUGAAAAGAUAAGUGAGACACACGUUGUAUCCUCUAAGUGCUUACAGUUUAGUGGGGGCUAAAAAUCACUCCUCAAAUUAAUAUACACUGUAAGUGUCAAAACGGAGAUAGUUCAAGGUUUUAUGGAUGAGAGAGAUUGUAUUUAGCUGAUCCCGGAACAGGCCAUGCUUGAACGGAGCAGCAGCAUUUAAUGUACAUCCUGAAAGAGUAAGUGUUGGGCAAAUCAAAACAAAGCAGGGGGCAUUGAAAGGUGAAGGCAAACGUGUCUUAGUAAACACAAAGCAUAUCUAAGAAAUUGUAAGUGGUUCUGUUUUGGAGGGUAUGCUGAACUAGAAUACAGAGUUUCAUGUGUAUUUUGAAAAUGUGAGGGAAUCCACUUACAGAUUUUACUUUCUUUUUUAAAAUUUUAGAUGUUGAAGUAAUUAUGGACUCUUAGGAAACACAUAGUUUAAAGAGUCUCAUGUAGCCAUCACUCAGCUUCCCACAAUGGCGGCAUUGUACACAGCUAUAGUAUAGCACCAAAACCAGGAAAUUGACAUUGAUACGUCACUGUUAGCUAGAAUGCAUUCAGUUUUCACUAUUUUUUUAACCUGUAUUAAUCUGUAUGUUUGUGUAUGUGUGGAAUUUUUAAUUUUUAAUCAGGGGAAUAAUAUAAUUGGCAUUGGGCCUUCAGAAGAUUAUCUGGCAACAGUAUACAGGCAAGACUGGAAGCAGGAAAACCAAAUCAAAAAUUACUCCAACAGUACAGGAGAGGGAAAAUGAGAGCCUGUAAUAGAUAAUGCCCAGUGCAGGGCUGUAUAUAGGUAAACAGUGUGGUGAGUGAACUGGGGUUUAUAUUUUCACACUACGUUUUUUUGAAUGUAAAAAUAAUAUGAUCCUUUUUCAGUUUGGCAAUGUGUGUACACUGGCAGGAGUCAGAAGGAUAACAUAGAACCCAGCGAGUUUCUGUAUGGCACAUUCAACAGUGUACUGGAAGAUGUCCAAUAUAAGGAGACUGGAGAAACAAGACAAUUCUCAUUUGGAGUGAGGUAAAUAGCUCAGGUCAGAGAAGAUUAGAUCAAGAAUCCCAGGCCAUAAAUCAGCAAUCAGAGUGAUACUGUGAGAAAAGUGAAGAGGCAGGUGCUUCUUGCCCUAACUGCUGGUAGACAGCUUAUUGUUCUUUCUACAUUAGCUUGCUAAUAGCUAAUUGUAAUUUCAAAAUAAAAAAUCUUCUUUUUAAAUUCAAG